This 1050-nucleotide long non-coding RNA is filed under the name Callithrix jacchus (white-tufted-ear marmoset). RNAcentral's name for it is "lncRNA (ENSCJAG00000080596.1)". The record is from RNAcentral. Lineage: Eukaryota; Metazoa; Chordata; Mammalia; Primates; Cebidae.
AUGAUCUCCCGAUCUCAAGUAGAGGGACCUUCAGUGGAUCAUAUAGGUUUUUUUCUGGACACUAGAUUGAGAGAUCUUUCUACAAGCAGACCUCCACAUUUGAUUUUACCUACUUUGAAUGCUAGUGUUUUCCCAGGUUCAGAUAUUGCCAUAUAUCAUAACCUGAAAUAGACUUCUGUGCAAAUUUUAUAAGAUUGGCAGGAUUUUAAAAUUUAUCUUAAUUAGACACAAUAAUUGUACACGUUUGUGAGGUACAAUGUAAUUCUUAAAAAUCUGAAUACAAUUUGUAAUAAUCAAACUAGAGUAAUUAGCAUAGCUAUUACAUUAGACAUCUGUUAUUUUUUGUGGUAAGAAGAGUCAAAAUCAUUUUUUCCAAUUAUUUUGAAAUGUACAGCACAGUAUUGUUAACUAUGGUCAACCUGCCGUGCAAUGGAACACUGGAACUUAUCCUAUCUAACUAUAACUCUGUAACUUUGUAUACUUUGACCACCUUUGUACUUCUCCCCUUCCUCCCUAACCUUCCCAGCCUCUGGUAACUGUCAUUUUUCUCUCCAUUUCUAUCAUAUCAACUUUUUAAGAUUUCAUAUAUGAGUGAGAACAUGCAAUAUUUGUCUUUCUGUUCCCAGCUUAUUUAACUUGAUAUGGUGUCCUCCAGGGCCAUCCAUGUGACUGCAAAUGAUAGAAUUUUAUUCUUUUUUAUGGACAAACAAUAUUCUGUUGUGUAAAUAUACCAUAUUUUUUUCUCCAUUCACCCAUUGGUGGAUACUUAGUUUGACUCCAUAUCGUGGUUAUUGCAAAUAAUGCUGCAAUAAACACAGAAGUGCAGAUUAUCUAUUUGAAAUACUGAUUUCAUUUCCUUUGGAUAUAUACUCCAUAAUGGGAUUCCUGAAUUGUAUUGUAGUUCUAUUUUUAAUUUGUUUAAUUAUACUUUAAGUUCAGGGGUACAUGUACAGAACGUGCAGGUUUGUUACAUAGGUAUACAUGUGCCAUGCUGGUUUGCUGCAUUCAUCACCUUAUCAUCUACAUUAUGUAUUUCUCCAAAUACUAUCC